This 492-nucleotide ribosomal RNA is filed under the name uncultured bacterium. Its description in RNAcentral is "partial 16S ribosomal RNA". It matches the Rfam family "Bacterial small subunit ribosomal RNA", at positions 29 to 507 of the family's 1533-position model. The record is from RNAcentral.
AGUGAACGCUGGCGGUAGGCCUAACACAUGCAAGUCGAGCGGCAGCACAGUAAGAGCUUGCUCUUACGGGUGGCGAGUGGCGGACAGGUGAGGAAUACAUCGGAAUCUACUUUUUCGUGGGGGAUAACGUAGGGAAACUUACGCUAAUACCGCAUACGACCUACGGGUGAAAGCAGGGGAUCUUCGGACCUUGCGCGAUUGAAUGAGCCGAUGUCGGAUUAGCUAGUUGGCGGGGUAAAGGCCCACCAAGGCGACGAUCCGUAGCUGGUCUGAGAGGAUGAUCAGCCACACUGGAACUGAGACACGGUCCAGACUCCUACGGGAGGCAGCAGUGGGGAAUAUUGGACAAUGGGCGCAAGCCUGAUCCAGCCAUACCGCGUGGGUGAAGAAGGCCUUCGGGUUGUAAAGCCCUUUUGUUGGGAAAGAAAAGCAGCAGGUUAAUACCCCGCUGUUCUGACGGUACCCAAAGAAUAAGCACCGGCUAACUUCGUG